GGGGUUGUUUGGAUUUGACGGCAAGACGAGAUGGUACGUAAGCACGCGGAGCCUCGUUGGUUAGCUCCUUAAUCUGAGCGAACAAAAAUUUAAUUGGCGAAAACAAUUACGCUCUCGCUGCCUAAUCGAAGUACAGUAGAUUACUGGCUUAAUCCAGCUACCAGGUAGCAGGACGAGACAUCGCUCCAUGGAUGUUUUUCCGAAUCUUAUGGAUGUAGCGGUGCUAGGAAAUCGGGAAUAGCAUGGGUAGGCCUUGAUGCCUGUGUGAAAUUUUAGAGGAUAAGGUUGUGGUUGGUGGUUCAGGUCUUGCCUCAACACGAAAAUCAAAGUCUGAAAUAAGCGUGUAGAAAGCGUAUGGUUUCCUUGUGCGGACGCGGGUUCGACUCCCGCCAGCUCCACA
This 400-nucleotide transfer-messenger RNA is filed under the name uncultured Prevotella sp. It matches the Rfam family "transfer-messenger RNA". Rfam says of the family: Bacterial tmRNA, also known as 10Sa RNA or SsrA, is named for its dual tRNA and mRNA-like properties. Its role is to liberate the mRNA from a stalled ribosome. The record is from RNAcentral. Lineage: Bacteria; Pseudomonadati; Bacteroidota; Bacteroidia; Bacteroidales; Prevotellaceae.